Molecule: ribosomal RNA, 253 nt
Filed under: uncultured bacterium
Lineage: Bacteria
Description: partial 16S ribosomal RNA
Rfam family: Bacterial small subunit ribosomal RNA
Source: RNAcentral
UACGUAGGGGGCAAGCGUUGUCCGGAAUCAUUGGGCGUAAAGAGCGUGUAGGCGGCCCGGUAAGUCCGCUGUGAAAGUCCAGGGCUCAACCCUGGAAUGCCGGUGGAAACUGUCGGGCUAGAGUCCGGAAGAGGCGAGUGGAAUUCCUGGUGUAGCGGUGAAAUGCGCAGAUAUCAGGAAGAACACCCGUGGCGAAGGCGGCUCUCUGGGACGGUACUGACGCUGAGACGCGAAAGCGUGGGGAGCGAACAGG